AACGAACGCUGGCGGCAUGCCUAACACAUGCAAGUCGAACGAGACCUUCGGGUCUAGUGGCGCACGGGUGCGUAACGCGUGGGAACCUGCCCUUAGGUUCGGAAUAACUCCCCGAAAGGGGUGCUAAUACCGGAUAAUGUCUUCGGACCAAAGAUUUAUCGCCUUUGGAUGGGCCCGCGUUGGAUUAGCUAGUUGGUAGGGUAAAAGCCUACCAAGGCGACGAUCCAUAGCUGGUCUGAGAGGAUGAUCAGCCACACUGGGACUGAGACACGGCCCAGACUCCUACGGGAGGCAGCAGUGGGGAAGAUUGGACAAUGGGCGAAAGCCUGAUCCAGCAAUGCCGCGAGAGUGAUGAAGGCCUUAGGGUUGUAAAGCUCUUUUACCCGGGAUGAUAAUGACAGUACCGGGAGAAUAAGCUCCGGCUAACUCCGU
Molecule: ribosomal RNA, 432 nt
Filed under: uncultured bacterium
Lineage: Bacteria
Description: partial 16S ribosomal RNA
Rfam family: Bacterial small subunit ribosomal RNA
Source: RNAcentral